UACAGAGGGGGCAAGCGUUGUUCGGAAUUACUGGGCGUAAAGGGCGCGUAGGCGGCCUUCUAAGUCGAACGUGAAAUCCCUGGGCUCAACCCAGGAACUGCGUCCGAUACUGGGAGGCUUGAAUCCGGGAGAGGGAUGCGGAAUUCCAGGUGUAGCGGUGAAAUGCGUAGAUAUCUGGAGGAACACCGGUGGCGAAGGCGGCAUCCUGGACCGGCAUUGACGCUGAGGCGCGAAAGCCAGGGGAGCAAACGGG
Molecule: ribosomal RNA, 253 nt
Filed under: uncultured bacterium
Lineage: Bacteria
Description: partial 16S ribosomal RNA
Rfam family: Bacterial small subunit ribosomal RNA
Source: RNAcentral